Molecule: ribosomal RNA, 553 nt
Filed under: uncultured bacterium
Lineage: Bacteria
Description: partial 16S ribosomal RNA
Rfam family: Bacterial small subunit ribosomal RNA
Source: RNAcentral
UGGGGAAUUUUGGACAAUGGGGGAAACCCUGAUCCAGCCAUCCCGCGUGUGCGAUGAAGGCCUUCGGGUUGUAAAGCACUUUUGGCAGGAAAGAAACGUCGCGGGUUAAUACCCCGCGAAACUGACGGUACCUGCAGAAUAAGCACCGGCUAACUACGUGCCAGCAGCCGCGGUAAUACGUAGGGUGCAAGCGUUAAUCGGAAUUACUGGGCGUAAAGCGUGCGCAGGCGGUUCGGAAAGAAAGAUGUGAAAUCCCAGAGCUUAACUUUGGAACUGCAUUUUUAACUACCGGGCUAGAGUGUGUCAGAGGGAGGUGGAAUUCCGCGUGUAGCAGUGAAAUGCGUAGAGUAUGCGGAGGAACACCGAUGGCGAAGGCAGCCUCCUGGGAUAACACUGACGCUCAUGCACGAAAGCGUGGGGAGCAAACAGGAUUAGAUACCCUGGUAGUCCACGCCCUAAACGAUGUCAACUAGCUGUUGGGGGCCUUCGGGCCUUGGUAGCGCAGCUAACGCGUGAAGUUGACCGCCUGGGGAGUACGGUCGCAAGAUUAAAA